ACACUCCUACGGGAGGCAGCAGUGGGGAAUAUUGCACAAUGGGCGCAAGCCUGAUGCAGCCAUGCCGCGUGUAUGAAGAAGGCCUUCGGGUUGUAAAGUACUUUCAGCGGGGAGGAAGGCGAUAAGGUUAAUAACCUUGUCGAUUGACGUUACCCGCAGAAGAAGCACCGGCUAACUCCGUGCCAGCAGCCGCGGUAAUACGGAGGGUGCAAGCGUUAAUCGGAAUUACUGGGCGUAAAGCGCACGCAGGCGGUCUGUCAAGUCGGAUGUGAAAUCCCCGGGCUCAACCUGGGAACUGCAUUCGAAACUGGCAGGCUAGAGUCUUGUAGAGGGGGGUAGAAUUCCAGGUGUAGCGGUGAAAUGCGUAGAGAUCUGGAGGAAUACCGGUGGCGAAGGCGGCCCCCUGGACAAAGACUGACGCUCAGGUGCGAAAGCGUGGGGAGCAAACAGGAUUAGAUACCCCUGUAGUCCC
This 472-nucleotide ribosomal RNA is filed under the name uncultured organism. RNAcentral's name for it is "partial 16S ribosomal RNA". It matches the Rfam family "Bacterial small subunit ribosomal RNA", at positions 333 to 797 of the family's 1533-position model. The record is from RNAcentral.